GAGUUUGAUCCUGGCUCAGGAUUAACGCUGGCGGCGUGCCUAAUACAUGCAAGUCGAACGGAAGUACCUUCGGGUACUUUAGUGGCGAACGGGUGAGUAAUACAUAGGUAACCUACCCUUAAGACGAGGAUAGCCAUUGGAAACGAUGGAUAAAACUGUAUAGGAUAUAGAGGAAGAAUCUUUUAUAUUUAAAAGAGAGAUCUGCUUAAGGAGGGGCCUGUGGCGCAUUAGCUAGUUGGUGGGGUUAGGGCCUACCAAGGCGAUGAUGCGUAGCCGGACUGAGAGGUUGAACGGCCACAAUGGAACUGAGAACGGUCCAUACUCCUACGGGAGGCAGCAGUAGGGAAUUUUCGGCGAUGGGGGGAACCCUGACCGAGCAACGCCGCGUGAACGAAGAAGUUAUUCGUAAUGUAAAGUUCUUUAUCAGGGAAGAAAGAGGAAUUGAC
This 446-nucleotide ribosomal RNA is filed under the name uncultured bacterium. RNAcentral's name for it is "bacterial SSU rRNA". It matches the Rfam family "Bacterial small subunit ribosomal RNA", at positions 9 to 461 of the family's 1533-position model. The record is from RNAcentral.